CAGUCGCCGCGGUAAUAUGUAGGGUGCAAGCGUUAAUCGGAAUUACUGGGCGUAAAGCGUGCGCAGGCGGUUAUAUAAGUCAGAUGUGAAAUCCCCGGGCUCAACCUGGGAACUGCAUUUGAGACUGUAUGGCUAGAGUGUGUCAGAGGGGGGUAGAAUUCCACGUGUAGCAGUGAAAUGCGUAGAUAUGUGGAGGAAUACCGAUGGCGAAGGCAGCCCCCUGGGCCAAUACUGACGCUCAUGCACGAAAGCGUGGGGAGCAAACAGGAUUAGAUACCCGAGUAGUCCCUGUCUCUUAUAC
Molecule: ribosomal RNA, 301 nt
Filed under: uncultured bacterium
Lineage: Bacteria
Description: partial 16S ribosomal RNA
Rfam family: Bacterial small subunit ribosomal RNA
Source: RNAcentral